UGCAACUGGACAGCACUGACCCAGAGACAGGGGUUAAAAUGGACCUUCCUUCCUAUCAAGCCAUGGACUAAUGAUUAAGGAGUGGGACCAUUUAUCAGACCUGUCUAGUCUAUGAAUUCCACCCCAAGGGCCACAGUUGUGCACGGGCAUUGAGCCAAUCCCUGGACUUCUGCUGGCACGUGGGAGGAAGGACUCUCUCUUUCCAUGAGGAUUGCUGAGAGGAAGCCUAGGGCUGCCAGCAAUCAUCCUGCCACCGCACGGGAGGUGCACACCUGAAUGAAGGUAACAGCCGCAGAGAGCAAAGCCCACAUGGAGGAGCCAGGACAGGAUGGGGACAACAAGGCUUGAGCCCCUAGAUCCGGGCAUGCCUGGCCUUUUAGGUCUCCAUGUAUCCUUUAUGAACUUCAUGAAAAUCUUGACUUGAUUCAAAUGCGUUUCUUGGAGGAAGAAUGCUUUCAGUGGCUGCAGUGUGCCAGGGUAGACUGAAGUCAGUUUCAAUUCAUUACAAACACAGUGCCAGCUCUGAGGAUGCCUCAGCUCAGAAGAGGUACGUAUUGAUAGCCAACACCCAGGGGGAAUGUGAUGCUGACCAGUGCUGUGGGUGCCAGCGCACUCGUCUGCAUCAAACCAUCACCUCGCAGUCACACCUACAGUUCUUUGCACUCAAUGCAAAGCUAUGGCCCAGGAUUGGGGGAGCAGCGUGUGCUAAGACACAGGUUAGGAGCCAUAUUCCCCAAGCAGUGGUGGCUACAUUCAUUUCUGGGAAAGCUCAGCAAAGAAAUGUGACCCCAGGGACACCUAAAUUUGGACUUUUUCUGUAUGAACACUU
RNAcentral lists this long non-coding RNA (829 nucleotides) under Homo sapiens (human). RNAcentral describes it as "HSALNT0054869". Lineage: Eukaryota; Metazoa; Chordata; Mammalia; Primates; Hominidae. The record is from RNAcentral.